Molecule: ribosomal RNA, 432 nt
Filed under: uncultured bacterium
Lineage: Bacteria
Description: bacterial SSU rRNA
Rfam family: Bacterial small subunit ribosomal RNA
Source: RNAcentral
GGGCCCGCACAAGCGGUGGAGUAUGUGGUUUAAUUCGAUGCAACGCGAAGAACCUUACCAGGGCUUGACAUCCUGCGAACCUCUGGGAAACCGGAGGGUGCCUUCGGGAACGCAGUGACAGGUGGUGCAUGGCUGUCGUCAGCUCGUGUCGUGAGAUGUUGGGUUAAGUCCCGCAACGAGCGCAACCCACGUCUUUAGUUGCCAGCAUUUAGUUGGGCACUCUAGAGAGACCGCCGGUGAUAAACCGGAGGAAGGUGUGGAUGACGUCAAGUCAUCAUGCCCCUUACAUCCUGGGCUACACACGUACUACAAUGCUACGGACAAAGAGCAGCAAGUUCGCGAGGACAAGCAAAUCUCAUAAACCGUGGCUCAGUUCAGAUCGUAGGCUGCAACUCGCCUACGUGAAGGAGGAAUCGCUAGUAAUCGCAGGUC